UACGAAGGGGGCUAGCGUUGCUCGGAAUUACUGGGCGUAAAGCGCACGUAGGCGGCUUGUUAAGUCAGGGGUGAAAUCCUGGAGCUCAACUCCAGAACUGCCUUUGAUACUGGCGAGCUUGAGUUCGGGAGAGGUGAGUGAAACUGCGAGUGUAGAGGUGAAAUUCGUAGAUAUUCGCAAGAACACCAGUGGCGAAGGCGGCUCACUGGCCCGAUACUGACGCUGAGGUGCGAAAGCGUGGGGAGCAAACAGG
Molecule: ribosomal RNA, 253 nt
Filed under: uncultured bacterium
Lineage: Bacteria
Description: partial 16S ribosomal RNA
Rfam family: Bacterial small subunit ribosomal RNA
Source: RNAcentral